This 253-nucleotide ribosomal RNA is filed under the name uncultured bacterium. RNAcentral's name for it is "partial 16S ribosomal RNA". It matches the Rfam family "Bacterial small subunit ribosomal RNA", at positions 524 to 776 of the family's 1533-position model. The record is from RNAcentral.
UACGUAGGGGGCAAGCGUUGUCCGGAUUUAUUGGGCGUAAAGAGCGUGUAGGCGGCUAGGUAGGUCCGUUGUGAAAACUCGAGGCUCAACCUCGAGACGCCGAUGGAAACCCCCUGGCUAGAGUCCGGAAGAGGAGAGUGGAAUUCCUGGUGUAGCGGUGGAAUGCGCAGAUAUCAGGAAGAACACCCGUGGCGAAGGCGGCUCUCUGGGACGGUACUGACGCUGAGACGCGAAAGCGUGGGGAGCAAACAGG